GCCCGCCACCGCCGCACUCUCCACCAAAUCCCCACUCGGGAUCCUCCCAGAUUCGACCCCCACCAACCAGAGCCCUCCCAUGGCUCCCUUCGAAUCCUCCCUUUCUGGCCGAGGAACCAGCACAGUCGCGCUCGAGCUCUCCCGAGGCCAAGCUCCUCCGACCUCACGACCCCGAAGCCCCGGCGACGACCAGCACCCGACGCCGGCAAGCAGCAGCAACUACCGCAUCCCCGAUUCCCGAGCGACCUCGCUCCCCUGCCGUCUUCGGAACCGCGCCGCUGAGCCGCCCGAGCUCCUUCUUGCCCGCCUCCCUCCAACCAGAGCUCGCUGCGGGAGGAACGCCAUGGCCGCCACACCAUGAAGGCACAUCGGCCCGGAUCCGGCCGGGAACCAGACGAGACCGCGCCUCCCCCGCCUCGGAUCCAGUCGUCCCCGCGCCAAGUCCGCUGCUUCGCCUCCAGCCCUCGUGCACGCGACUCCGCUGCUUCGCCAUCGCCCCGUCAUGGUCUUGUGGCAUGUCCUGCAGCUUGGCGACCUGAUCCGUGCCUCUCCCAGCAGGAUCUGGCCUCAGGCAACUCCCCAGGCUCCAUCCCGUCCCCGCGUCCCCGCGGACCCCGCCGGAAUCCGCGUAGCACCGCCCUUGUCUUCGUCUGCCUGAACCACCGGCGAGCUGUUGCUCUGUAUCUGUCGAGCAGGAGGGACAACGCUCGUGCUCCUAUCGCGCGCCCGGUGGGCCACCCACCGGCCUUGCCAGGCCCAGCAUCCAGUUGGCCCAAUGUGAGCAGCCUCCCCUAGACCCUCUGUGCUCUAUUGGGCCAACAGAAACGGCCCAUUUCAUGUUUUUUUUCCAUAUAACGUUUUUUCCUAUUUUCCAGAAAACUGUUGUUUUACAGAUAGGUCCCUAAACUUCAUGCAUUUAAUAACUUCACAACCGUGCAUCGGAUCUAAAUAAAUUUUAUACGAAA
Triticum dicoccoides is the source of this 965-nucleotide long non-coding RNA. RefSeq lists it as uncharacterized. The record is from RefSeq and is a predicted model, not a curated record. The transcript is spliced from 2 exons. NCBI's taxonomy places the organism in Eukaryota, Viridiplantae, Streptophyta, Magnoliopsida, Poales, Poaceae.